Molecule: ribosomal RNA, 427 nt
Filed under: uncultured bacterium
Lineage: Bacteria
Description: partial 16S ribosomal RNA
Rfam family: Bacterial small subunit ribosomal RNA
Source: RNAcentral
UGGGGAAUAUUGCACAAUGGGCGCAAGCCUGAUGCAGCCAUGCCGCGUGUAUGAAGAAGGCCUUCGGGUUGUAAAGUACUUUCAGCGGGGAGGAAGGCGAUAAGGUUAAUAACCUUGUCGAUUGACGUUACCCGCAGAAGAAGCACCGGCUAACUCCGUGCCAGCAGCCGCGGUAAUACUGAGGGUGCAAGCGUUAAUCGGAAUUACUGGGCGUAAAGCGCACGCAGGCGGUCUGUCAAGUCGGAUGUGAAAUCCCCGGGCUCAACCUGGGAACUGCAUUCGAAACUGGCAGGCUAGAGUCUUGUAGAGGGGGGUAGAAUUCCAGGUGUAGCGGUGAAAUGCGUAGAGAUCUGGAGGAAUACCGGUGGCGAAGGCGGCCCCCUGGACAAAGACUGACGCUCAGGUGCGAAAGCGUGGGGAGCAAACA